This 303-nucleotide long non-coding RNA is filed under the name Gossypium barbadense (sea-island cotton). Its description in RNAcentral is "long non-coding RNA (GBAR_LNC010745)". The record is from RNAcentral. Lineage: Eukaryota; Viridiplantae; Streptophyta; Magnoliopsida; Malvales; Malvaceae.
AGAUCUUUCAAAGUUCCCCACGGAAUGCACUUACUCUCACCCUUUUCCUUAAUUCUAGCCAUGAUCCACUGCUCGCUCAUCCUCGUAAUGGCCAUCAGCUUCUUACCAAAGGUUGGGACACAAGCAGCUCGAGAAUAAAUCCUAUCACACUGAAAUCUAGGACACCGAAGUAAGGCUGUGUACUCCUCCACAGUAGGCACUAAAUCUACCUCCACAAAGGUAAAACAAAUGUAUGCUGGGUUCCAAAACUGAACGAGAGCUCAAAACAAGUGCUCAUCAACCUGAAUAUCAAACAAAUAGGGC